ACCUAGUAGUACGGAAUAGCCAUUAGAAAUGGUGGGUAAUACUGUAUAAUCCCCGAGGGGGAAAGAUUUAUCGCUAUUAGGUGAGCCUACGUUAGAUUAGCUAGUUGGUGAGGUAAUGGCUUACCAAGGCUAUGAUCUAUAGUUGGUCCGAGAGGACGAUCAGCCACACUGGAACUGAGAUACGGUCCAGACUCCUACGGGAGGCAGCAGUGGGGAAUAUUGGACAAUGGGCGAAAGCCUGACCCAGCUAUGCCGCGUGAGU
This 262-nucleotide ribosomal RNA is filed under the name uncultured Ehrlichia sp. RNAcentral describes it as "partial 16S ribosomal RNA". It matches the Rfam family "Bacterial small subunit ribosomal RNA", at positions 128 to 406 of the family's 1533-position model. The record is from RNAcentral. Lineage: Bacteria; Pseudomonadati; Pseudomonadota; Alphaproteobacteria; Rickettsiales; Anaplasmataceae.